AGUGAACGCUGGCGGUAGGCCUAACACAUGCAAGUCGAACGGCAGCACAGUAAGAGCUUGCUCUUACGGGUGGCGAGUGGCGGACGGGUGAGGAAUACAUCGGAAUCUACUUUUUCGUGGGGGAUAACGUAGGGAAACUUACGCUAAUACCGCAUACGACCUACGGGUGAAAGCAGGGGAUCUUCGGACCUUGCGCGAUUGAAUGAGCCGAUGUCGGAUUAGCUAGUUGGCGGGGUAAAGGCCCACCAAGGCGACGAUCCGUAGCUGGUCUGAGAGGAUGAUCAGCCACACUGGAACUGAGACACGGUCCAGACUCCUACGGGAGGCAGCAGUGGGGAAUAUUGGACAAUGGGCGCAAGCCUGAUCCAGCCGUACCGCGUGGGUGAAGAAGGCCUUCGGGUUGUAGAGCCCUUUUGUUGGGAAAGAAAAGCAGCAGGUUAAUACCCCGCUGUUCUGACGGUACCCAAAGAAUAAGCACCGGCUAACUUCGUG
RNAcentral lists this ribosomal RNA (492 nucleotides) under uncultured bacterium. Its description in RNAcentral is "partial 16S ribosomal RNA". It matches the Rfam family "Bacterial small subunit ribosomal RNA", at positions 29 to 507 of the family's 1533-position model. The record is from RNAcentral.